GCACGGCUCAGUAACACGUAGUCAACCUACCCUGGGGACGGGGAUAACCCCGGGAAACUGGGGAUAAACCCCGAUAGGCCAUGGCUUCUGGAAUGGGCCAUGGCUUAAAUCUAUAUGGCCCCAGGAUGGGACUGCGCCCGAUCAGGUUGUUGGUGGGGUAAUGGCCCACCAAGCCUAUAACCGGUACGGGCUCUGAGAGGAGGAGCCCGGAGAUGGGCACUGAGACAAGGGCCCAGGUCCUAUGGGACGCAGCAGGCGCGAAACCUCCGCAAUGGGCGAAAGCCCGACGGGGUCAGUCCGAGUGGCUCCCGCUAAGGGAGUCUUUUGCCAGCUGUAAAAAGGCUGGCGAAUAAGGGGUGGGCAAGUCUGGUGUCAGCCGCCGCGGUAAUACCAGCACCCCGAGUGGUCGGGACGAUUAUUGGGCCUAAAGCAUCCGUAGCCGGUGUAGCAAGUCCUCCGUU
Molecule: ribosomal RNA, 461 nt
Filed under: uncultured archaeon
Lineage: Archaea
Description: bacterial SSU rRNA
Rfam family: Archaeal small subunit ribosomal RNA
Source: RNAcentral